This 492-nucleotide ribosomal RNA is filed under the name uncultured bacterium. RNAcentral describes it as "partial 16S ribosomal RNA". It matches the Rfam family "Bacterial small subunit ribosomal RNA", at positions 30 to 507 of the family's 1533-position model. The record is from RNAcentral.
AUUGAACGCUGGCGGCAUGCUUUACGCAUGCAAGUCGAACGGUAACAGGCCUUCGGGUGCUGACGAGUGGCGAACGGGUGAGUAAUGCAUCGGAACGUGCCCAGAGGUGGGGGAUAACGCAGCGAAAGCUGUGCUAAUACCGCAUGUGAUCUGAGGAUGAAAGCGGGGGACCAGGCAGCAAUGUUUGGCCUCGCGCCUUUGGAGCGGCCGAUGUCAGAUUGGGUAGUUGGUGGGGUAAAGGCCUACCAAGCCGACGAUCUGUAGCUGGUCUGAGAGGACGACCAGCCACACUGGGACUGAGACACGGCCCAGACUCCUACGGGAGGCAGCAGUGGGGAAUUUUGGACAAUGGGCGCAAGCCUGAUCCAGCAAUGCCGCGUGCGGGAAGAAGGCCUUCGGGUUGUAAACCGCUUUUGUACGGAACGAAAAGGCUCUGGCUAAUACCUGGGGCUGAUGACGGUACCGUAAGAAUAAGCACCGGCUAACUACGUG